This is a long non-coding RNA of Chenopodium quinoa (quinoa), 706 nucleotides long. RefSeq lists it as uncharacterized. NCBI's taxonomy places the organism in Eukaryota, Viridiplantae, Streptophyta, Magnoliopsida, Caryophyllales, Amaranthaceae. The transcript has 3 exons. The record is from RefSeq and is a predicted model, not a curated record.
ACGAAGCUAUUACCAAUCAUACUUGGACAAUAAUGUGAGAAUACAUUUUUAAAUCGAUGCAUGUAGGGAACAAAUUUACGUUUAACCAAUUUUUAGGAAAAAUUCUAUAAGUGGAAUAAAAAUACGGAAAAGAAAAAAUAAAUAAUACGGAGUAAUAAAAAUUUUAAAAAUAAAAAAAAUAAAAUAAAAUAAAAAAAGUCGUCAAUUUCUAAUUUUCUAUUAUCUCUACACGAGUCUACACCCAAAUUGAGAGAAUUUCCUCAGCAAAUGCGACAUAUACGAGAAAGGAAAAGGAAGAAGAAACUAUGAAAUACACACCGAAGGUGAAGGGAGAGAAAUACGAGGAAGCGGGUGAUUUGGAUUCAAUUCCGCAAAAUGCAAAAUGCCAUUUUUGCCUUUCUCAUUCAAGGUUCUGAGUCCCUGGCUGAUAAAUGGUGAACAUUGAAUUUAAGUGUCAUUACUCUUGUUGGCAUCCACUUACUGCUUAAAAAACAGAGGAAGAAAUUGAGGAUGGCGAUGAAUUCUGACCAUUUAAUUCAAACUGGAGCUUAACUUCUUCUGAUCGUUUGAUGGAAACCUGAAGUGCGUUUCCUGUAUCUAGGAAUACUAUUUUGAGAGAGUUGAAGGCUUCCUUGGAAGUUAUCCACAGGGAAAUCAACAAUAGCCCACAUGCCUUCCUCUGCGUUGUGGUGGCAAUACCGGAGGA